Molecule: long non-coding RNA, 2029 nt
Organism: Mauremys reevesii (Reeves's turtle)
Lineage: Eukaryota; Metazoa; Chordata; Testudines; Geoemydidae
Exons: 6
Source: RefSeq, a predicted model, not a curated record
GCCUAGAGCCCAUCUUGGGAAGCUAAAGCUGAGGCUCGCCUCCCGGCAUGCAUCGCGCCAGCCUCCUCUCCCGGCAUGCACCGCGGCAGCCCCUUCUUCAAGCGUCUCCUAGCCCAAGUCCCACUAUCUCCCCCAUGCCCUUUCUCACACGCCCCAUCCCCCACUUCCAGCCCACAUCCUAUUCUCCAGCAGCCCCCCCACACCCUUUCCCCUAGUAUGUCCUCUCUGCCAGCCCCACAAAUACCAUCCCCCAGCACAUCCCCACUCACCCCAUCCUCCAGCAUCUACCAGUCCCACACACCCAUCCCCCAGCAAAUCCAUUCCCAAUCCCAAUCCCAACCCCACACACCCCAUUCUCCAGCAUCCCACACACCCCAUCUUCCAGCAUCUACCAGCCCCAAACACCUUCAUUCCCAGACCCACAAACCUCCUCCCUAUCACUCUCCAUUCCCAUCUCCCCACCAUACACUCCAUUUCUCAGCAUAUCCAACUCCCAGACCCACAGAACGCCUGUCCCCUGCACAAAAGAGAGAGUCCUCUCAAACUGACAACCCUAUCUUGUGACGUUCCACACAACUCUUCCCUGCCAUGCCCACUCUCAACACUAUCUCCCACAUAUCAGAAAGUGACUGCUCUCCAGUCUCUAGUUAAGUGCAUAUUUUCAAGUAGACUGCCAGAGAUGCAUGUGCAAAAUCCCAGUUUGUGUGCACAUGUAACAAUAGAUUUGCAUGCAGCCAUGGGCCCAUGCAUUUAUUUAUGUUUACUUAUUUAUUUGGAUUGAAAUUCAACAUAAAAGAAUGCCUAGCUGAAACUCUAGACACCCUUGACAGUAAUUAUAAAUACAACAUGAAAAUAAUUAAGAAGGUCAAACUGGAGCAUGGGUCACUACAUAACAAUUAUUAGUCUGCAUGCAUAUUACAGAUUAGAACCUUCCAUUUCUCACAUUACCAUUAAGUCAGCUUCAGUUCUGCCAAAAAUCCACUCAGAGAAAUGGGCUAUGGAGCAUGCCUGGAAGAGCAACAGAGCUGAGCUAUUUUGGACCAAAAAGGGGAGGUUAUUCCAAAGCUGAGGAGCCCUGGAGAAUGCCCAACCAGCAGCUCCCUCCUUUUUGUAUUGAGGGGCUCCAGCUCAGAUGUCUCUACUGAUCUCAACUCCAGCACUAUGGCACGUAAAAAGAAGUAUCUCAGGGUUGCCAGGAUGGCUAUUAGCAAUCAUGUUUUAAAGCCAGGGACCACUAUGCUAGACACUCUGCUAACACAGAGGUGGACAUGGUCCCUGCCCUGAAGAGAUUACAGUCUUCCAGUCAUUCCCUGUGGUGUUGUGAACCCAGAGAGAACAAGAAGCAGCACAGGGCUUAGCUGGCAUAAAGACUGAAUUGCUUCUUACCCCAGAGAAAGGUGAUCUUUGCAGCUGAAGUCAUUAGUAGUGUAACAGGAAAUUCAUGUUGCAGAUUCUAAGAUCUUCAUGUAGCCUGAGCUGGAAACCCAAAGACAACAGCAUGUGCUACAGGAGAACCCCAAAGGGCAACAGACUGUGAACAGAAAACGUAACUGACCUCGCUGCUCUCACGUCAAGAAAUUCUUUCAACCUGACUGGUUAUGGCUACUAAGAUGGGAAAAAGUUGCUCAAUCUCGAGGCCAGCUCCUGUGAAAGUUCUGUCUCCUUCCCUAAUGAGCUUCCCCAGACUGGUCAGUGGAGUGGACAGUAACUGCGGUGGAAGGUAACAAUCAUAGGAAGAGGCAGGUUCUCAGUCAGGCAAUCAUCAGCAACUGCAAAGGGAUAGAUCUGUGGCUGUUUUCAACCACAUAUUGCACAGGCUUUCAGAAUUGCAGACCUGAUCCAAAGCCCAUUGAAAUUGCAGAGUACAUAGCAGGGCUUGUAAUUACUAGUUCUAGUAUUACCUACUGCAGCUCCUUGAAUAGAAAACAUAUGUGGAUUAGCGAGGGCUAAAGGUUCAGGCCAUCAGUCUGUAUUUAUAUACUUUGUAUAGUUCUUUCCAUCUGAGCAUCUCAGAGGGUUUUACAAACAC